CAGCAGCCGCGGUAAUACGGAGGGUGCAAGCGUUAAUCGGAAUUACUGGGCGUAAAGCGCACGCAGGCGGUCUGACAAGUCAGAUGUGAAAUCCCCGGGCUUAACCUGGGAACUGCAUUUGAAACUGUCAGGCUGGAGUCUUGUAGAGGGGGGUAGAAUUCCAGGUGUAGCGGUGAAAUGCGUAGAGAUCUGGAGGAAUACCGGUGGCGAAGGCGGCCCCCUGGACAAAGACUGACGCUCAGGUGCGAAAGCGUGGGGAGCAAACAGGAUUAGAUACCCGAGUAGUCCCUGUCUCUUAUAA
This 301-nucleotide ribosomal RNA is filed under the name uncultured bacterium. RNAcentral's name for it is "partial 16S ribosomal RNA". It matches the Rfam family "Bacterial small subunit ribosomal RNA", at positions 509 to 809 of the family's 1533-position model. The record is from RNAcentral.